AGUAUGAGGUAUAGUAUUCACAGUGAUGAGGCUCCUCCCCCUCUUUCUUUACUGCUCCAUCAGCAGACAGGUCAGAGUUUUUGGCUCUUCCCUUUUACUUACUGUAUUUAUUUCUAUAUGUUUAUUUUAUGUUCUCUAUGAUAUAUCCUUACAUGUAGUUACUGUGUAGUACUGCUUCAGGUGGGCUUUUUCUUUUAUUGUUCUUUUAUAUGUACUGUGCUAGUGGUUUGUACUUUCUGUUGUAUUAUUAGGGCAGACUUUUUAUGGAAGCACUUUCCUCUCCUUUUUUAUCCCUUUAUCUCUGCCCCCUUGAACUUUACUCUUCUGGGGAUUUUUCCUCUCCCCCCUUCAGGAUCUUCUCCUGUCUCUCCCCCCCCCCUCCCUUUUCCCACUCGGUCCGCCAGCUUUCUCCGCCGUCGGACCGACCGCAAACGCCCACCUCUUUCUCUGAGGGUAACGCUCACCCUCCUCCACCCUACUCCUUCCUCGCGGCUUCACAGCCGCACUCACUCUGGUCGCGCGGCGGGAA
Molecule: non-coding RNA, 529 nt
Organism: Pelobates cultripes (western spadefoot toad)
Lineage: Eukaryota; Metazoa; Chordata; Amphibia; Anura; Pelobatidae
Source: the annotation of a GenBank genome assembly